CGGCAGACCUCGCCGCAUUUCAUUUCAUGGCCUCCGCCCUGUCUCCUCCCCUUCCCUCCCUCACCGAAAGAGUAGAGAAGAGAAGAGAAGAGACGAGAGGCACCGAGCGGUCAGGCGGCGGCCCAGAUCAGUCCGCCACGGUCCGGCCAUGGGGACCGGAGCUCCGAGCGGCCGUCCUUCUCGUCAAGGGCGGGCCUUGCUUCCUCCGUCUCCUUCCUUCCUUCCUUGUCCUCGGCCAUGCCGAGAAGCAAGGAGGAGGAUCUGCCCUACGGAAGGAAGGAAGAAGCCGCCGGUGCCGGCGAGCACAAGGAAUCGACGGGGACGGCUGCUCCUCCCAAGGGAAAACUAUCAACAUCCUGAAGGUGAUAGGUUUCUGGGCUGGUAGCGACACUCGCUCAGACGCUCACAGACCAGACCUGUGUAGGCACUAGGUGAUGAUGAUGCAGUGGGUAAUAAUCACUCUACUUCUGGCCGCAUCCCUCCUAUUGUUGAGAUGACAAUGAUCUUUAUUUUGAGAACUGGGAUGGUGAUUAUGAUGCUGGUGGUAGAGAGUCAAAGCUCUGAUGAUUCUGGUUGUGAGGCGCACAAGAGAAAGUGUGGUGUGCGCGGCGGAGAAGGCACCCAACAUUACCAGCGAGUCCGUCAACCUGCGCCGGUGCUCACUUGAGGCCUCCCAACCUGCCCCUCCGGUGGCCUCUUCUUCUUCGACCGGCACUAGGUGAUGAUGAUCCACUGGGUAAUAAUCACUCUACGUCUGGCCGCGUCCCUCCUAUUGUUGAAAAUGACGAUGAUCUUGAUUUUAUGAACUGGGAUGGCGAUGCUGAUGCUGGUUGUAGAGAGUCAAGCUCUGAUUAUUCUGGUUGUGAGGCGUUGGAUAAUCGGGUUUGAGAGGCUGACUGACACUCAGCCAGAGCUAUACGUCCACAUUGUCCCUGACAAGGCCACAACCAAACUAACGUUUACCGAAAGCAGUAUUGGUAUCCCUCACUGUAGAGGAAGCUCUGUCCAACACUGGAGGCGGUUCAAAGACGUCAGCAUCUGCAGGCAUGCCAAGCUAUCCCUCAUGGCUGAUCCUGUCGGGUUUCCCUAUUUUCCUGUCGGUUUUGGGCUCACAGAGAUUUUUCAGUUUCUGGUAGUGAACUACACCGUCCUGGCGGGCACCCUCGCCGGCCUGAGUGUCCUUGGCUGGUACCUCCCGUUGAAGCCAAGAAGACGGAGGUCGUCGACUAAUUGUGGUCUAUGGACGUUGAUGCAUGGAAGUGGCAUUCUAGUGCCAUCGAGAUUGAUGAUGAAGAUGUUGUUACCUGCAAAAGUAUGAAGGCACCGGGGGAGAGAAGUGCCUUCGCGAGCGUCAACCGGAGGAGCCUGCAGGGUUCUCUAUAAAGGUGAUCCUGGACGGCGAGGGGUGCAAGGCGUUGUGCGCUGAGUUCUCCAAGGUCAUGCAACAGAAAAUGGAACAAGAGAAGCAGGAGAAGCUCGCACACAAGGUAUGCCAGCAUACAGUUCCUUGAACCGCUGAACUGGGUAGUGAGUUUUCAUGGUUUAUUUCCGUAGUUCUUCUCUUCUUGUGAUACCGUGUACAACAAAUUAGCACCCAUAUUUACAUGCCCAAUAGACAUGUAUGUUUUAGCCUCCUAUGUUGAAAUGCAUUACUAUAUAUGCUCUGUGCAUUACUAUCUCUUGAGCCACUGAACUUUUUUUUCGAGAGAACACAAGAGAGCUUGUGUUUCAUUGCAUUGAAAAGAAAGAGAGUUUUGGUUACAUUCCUCCUAGGAGGUUGUUGCAAUGCUCAUGAGCACAUCAGUGGACGUCCCAUUUUUGGGGUGUGGUGGCACAAAGCCCUAAAGCACCGGCGCUAUCCACUAGUAGAAAAAGGGUCAAAUGUGCGACACAUUAGUCCCGGUUUGUAACAGAACCGACACUAAUGUGUCCAUUAGUGCUAGUUCCAACGGCUAGGAGGGAGGACCUCUUUAGUAUCGGUUCGUGGCGAACCUCUAGCACCGGUUCGUGCCACAAAUCGGUACUUAAGAAAGUGGUGGCAGGAUGUUGUCAGA
Triticum dicoccoides is the source of this 2054-nucleotide long non-coding RNA. RefSeq lists it as uncharacterized. The record is from RefSeq and is a predicted model, not a curated record. NCBI's taxonomy places the organism in Eukaryota, Viridiplantae, Streptophyta, Magnoliopsida, Poales, Poaceae. The transcript is spliced from 8 exons.